UGCAACUAGGAUGAUGAAAAACACUUACAACAACAACAUGAAUUUCUUCAACUGAUCUAAUAUGAGGAACCAAACUUUGACAGCUUUUUAACCCUGAUCUAGUUGCG
This 107-nucleotide small nucleolar RNA is filed under the name Lachancea thermotolerans CBS 6340. Lineage: Eukaryota; Fungi; Ascomycota; Saccharomycetes; Saccharomycetales; Saccharomycetaceae. The record is from RNAcentral.